Molecule: ribosomal RNA, 443 nt
Filed under: uncultured bacterium
Lineage: Bacteria
Description: partial 16S ribosomal RNA
Rfam family: Bacterial small subunit ribosomal RNA
Source: RNAcentral
CCUACGGGAGGCAGCAGUGGGGAAUAUUGGACAAUGGGGGGAACCCUGAUCCAGCGACGCCGCGUGAGUGAAGAAGUAUUUCGGUAUGUAAAGCUCUAUCAGUAGGGAAGAAAGAAAUGACGGUACCUGACUAAGAAGCCCCGGCUAACUACGUGCCAGCAGCCGCGGGACUACGUAGGGGGCAAGCGUUAUCAGGAUUUACUGGGUGUAAAGGGAGCGUAGACGGCGAUGCAAGUCUGCAGUGAAAGGCGGGGGCCCAACCCCUGGACUGCAUUGGAUACUGGAUGGCUGGAGUGCAGGAGAGAGAAGUGGAAUUCCUAGUGUAGCGGUGAAAUGCGUAGAGAUGAGGAGGAACACCGGUGGCGAAGGCAGCUUACUGGACUGUAACUGACGUUGAGGCUCGAAAGCGUGGGGAGCAAACAGGAUUAGAUACCCCUGUAGUC